Long non-coding RNA from Ctenopharyngodon idella (grass carp), 286 nucleotides. RefSeq lists it as uncharacterized. Lineage: Eukaryota; Metazoa; Chordata; Actinopteri; Cypriniformes; Xenocyprididae. The transcript is spliced from 3 exons. The record is from RefSeq and is a predicted model, not a curated record.
GCUGAAGAUUUACCAGUUUAUGUGGUUGAUCUGGAUCACGGCAUGAAGGACAAAAACCCCAUUGAAUCUGUCUAUUUCUACAGCAAGAGGAAACCCAAUGAAGCUUCUACAAUUAAAGAUUAUCAGCUGUCCAGUUUCCUGCCGAAGAAGUUCAAUGAAGAGCUUGUCAGAGUUUAUUACAGAAGAACUGAUGAUCAGAGAGCUGAAGAUAAGGAGGAGGAGAAGAAGAAGGUGGAAGAGGCGGAGAAGUGCUUUCAGAUCUGGUGUUCAGACAAUUUUGGACUCC